Long non-coding RNA from Bradysia coprophila, 169 nucleotides. The record is from RefSeq and is a predicted model, not a curated record. Lineage: Eukaryota; Metazoa; Arthropoda; Insecta; Diptera; Sciaridae.
UCAAUCGAAAAUACUUUUAAUCUGUUGAUUUCAAAUCUUGUACUUCAAUUUUCUUAACAUACUUUUUACGAUAUAAAGAACCAUAUUACCUAGAGAUUGUCAUUAUUUUUGUCGUCGUUAUCGAUAACAGAUGAAUAGCCGUACGUGACAGGCCCUUUCAGUUGCAUUU